GGAUAUGAGGACAGUCUGGCUGCAACAUCUGUCACCCCCAUCGAUAGCCAGGGCUGGACUGGCUAGACAGGUGUCCUCUUCUUCCCUGACGGCUCCAUUUUCGUCCCUCUCAAAGCUGUAUGCUCAUUCGAAGAGUACAGACUUCCCCAAAUACAUACGGAUGGGUCAUCGGUCAAGGGUAUAUGAGCAGCUAAGCGCCCCUGCUUGAACCUCCAAACAAGCUCUCAAGAAUACUAAAAUAUCAUACGAAAUAUUCUAAAUGUAGUUUAAUUAAGAAAUUUAUUAUUUCAUUUU
Molecule: small nuclear RNA, 294 nt
Filed under: Erinaceus europaeus (western European hedgehog)
Lineage: Eukaryota; Metazoa; Chordata; Mammalia; Eulipotyphla; Erinaceidae
Description: 7SK RNA
Rfam family: 7SK RNA
About the family: 7SK was discovered as an abundant small nuclear RNA in the mid-70s but a possible function has only recently been suggested.
Source: Rfam by way of RNAcentral